RNAcentral lists this ribosomal RNA (301 nucleotides) under uncultured bacterium. RNAcentral's name for it is "partial 16S ribosomal RNA". It matches the Rfam family "Bacterial small subunit ribosomal RNA", at positions 509 to 807 of the family's 1533-position model. The record is from RNAcentral.
CAGUAGCCGCGGUAAUACGAAGGGGGCUAGCGUUGUUCGGAUUUACUGGGCGUAAAGGGCGCGUAGGCGGACUGAUAAGUCAGGGGUGAAAUCCCAAGGCUCAACCUUGGAACUGCCUUUGAUACUGUUUGUCUUGAGUUCGAGAGAGGUAAGUGGAACUGCGAGUGUAGAGGUGAAAUUCGUAGAUAUUCGCAAGAACACCAGUGGCGAAGGCGGCUUACUGGCUCGAUACUGACGCUGAGGCGCGAAAGCGUGGGGAGCAAACAGGAUUAGAUACCCCCGUAGUCCCUGUCUCUUAUAC